This 524-nucleotide ribosomal RNA is filed under the name Halobacillus sp. 1920BAB. RNAcentral describes it as "bacterial SSU rRNA". It matches the Rfam family "Bacterial small subunit ribosomal RNA", at positions 37 to 525 of the family's 1533-position model. The record is from RNAcentral. Lineage: Bacteria; Bacillati; Bacillota; Bacilli; Caryophanales; Bacillaceae.
CCGUAUCGUGGCGGCGUGCAUAAUACAUGCAGUCGAGCGCGGGAAGCGAGCUGAUCCCUUCGGGGUGACGCUCGUGGAACGAGCGGCGGACGGGUGAGUAACACGUGGGCAACCUGCCUGUAAGAUCGGGAUAACUCCGGGAAACCGGGGCUAAUACCGGGUAAUACUUUCUUUCGCAUGAAGGAAAGUUGAAAGAUGGCUUCUCGCUAUCACUUACAGAUGGGCCCGCGGCGAUUAGCUAGUUGGUGAGGUAACGGCUCACCAAGGCGACGAUGCGUAGCCGACCUGAGAGGGUGAUCGGCCACACUGGGACUGAGACACGGCCCAGACUCCUACGGGAGGCAGCAGUAGGGAAUCUUCCGCAAUGGACGAAAGUCUGACGGAGCAACGCCGCGUGAACGAUGAAGGUCUUCGGAUCGUAAAGUUCUGUUGUUAGGGAAAACAAGUACCGUGCGAAUAGAGCGGUACCUUGACGGUACCUAACGAGGAGCCCCGGCUAACUACGUGCCAGCAGCCGGUUAAUA